GUCCCCCCUCCUUUCUGCUGUGACUUCCGUGCCGGCAGCGUUCAGCGUGGAGUUUAGCGUGACUGUUUGGAUUACUUCUCGUGAGUUUAAGUCGCGGGCUCGUAUUCGAUUGCCGGCUCAGCGCUGUGGUAUGCAUCUCUGAUGUUGCCUGGGCACUUUCACUUUAGAAAGGUAAUUUCUGCCUGUUUCCUUUUAUAUAUGUUCUGGCAGUGAGUACAGCUUUUGGCUACCUUAUUUCUUGGGUGGUGGGAUAGUGUUAGUGAUUGUGCUGCCUUGCUGCGGGCAUUGUCUGCUGGAGCUGUUGGCUGUAGCCAUUGUCAGCUGGAGCUGCUGUGUGUUAUUACCUGCUGCUGUCUGCUGUGGCCAUUGUUUGCUGUGGCUGCUGGCAGAAAUUGAUGCUGUGCUGGAGCUGGGGGCCAAGCAUCUGACUUGGGGAUGUGGAAUUCUAUUCACCUUUCCUGUAGUGUGGAGCACGUUGGGUGUGAUUGAGAUGUGUGGCACUGACAUGUGUGGUUUGUAGUGUAGAGGAUAUUCCUAUCUCUGUACUUCCUUCGGUCGUGGUAAGCCCUUAACCCAGUUCCUUCCUAAAUUGUUACUGGUAGUUUAAAUAAAUUAUUGCUAGUUCUUUUUUUAUAUUGAUUCUCCAAGAAGGGAAUUCCUGGUCUGCCUGGUGGAAAAGAUGUUUUAAAAUAAUUGUCAAUAAAUCUCUAUUAAAUGAUUGUA
Pygocentrus nattereri (red-bellied piranha) is the source of this 723-nucleotide long non-coding RNA. RefSeq lists it as uncharacterized. NCBI's taxonomy places the organism in Eukaryota, Metazoa, Chordata, Actinopteri, Characiformes, Serrasalmidae. The transcript has 3 exons. The record is from RefSeq and is a predicted model, not a curated record.